This 329-nucleotide unclassified non-coding RNA is filed under the name soil metagenome. Its description in RNAcentral is "partial contains 5.8S ribosomal RNA, internal transcribed spacer 2, and large subunit ribosomal RNA". The stretch from base 1 to 120 matches the Rfam family "5.8S ribosomal RNA", at positions 35 to 154 of the family's 154-position model. The record is from RNAcentral.
GAUGAAGAACGUAGCGAAAUGCGAUAAGUAGUGUGAAUCGCAGAAUUCAGUGAAUCAUCGAAUCUUUGAACGCACAUUGCGCCCCUUGGUAUCCCGAGGGGCAUACCUGUUCGAGCGUCAUUUCACCACUCAAGCCUGGCUUGGUGUUGGGCGACGUCCUCUUUGGGGACGCGCCUCGAAACGCUCGGCGGCGUGGCACCGGCUUUAAGCGUAGCAGAAUCUUUCGCUUUGGAAGUCGGGGCCCCGUCUGCCGGAAGACCUGCUCGCAAGGUUGACCUCGGAUCAGGCAGGGAUACCCGCUGAACUUAAGCAUAUCAAUAAGCGGAGGA